This 433-nucleotide ribosomal RNA is filed under the name uncultured bacterium. Its description in RNAcentral is "partial 16S ribosomal RNA". It matches the Rfam family "Bacterial small subunit ribosomal RNA", at positions 29 to 507 of the family's 1533-position model. The record is from RNAcentral.
AACGAACGCUGGCGGCAUGCCUAACACAUGCAAGUCGAACGAGACCUUCGGGUCUAGUGGCGCACGGGUGCGUAACGCGUGGGAACCUGCCCUUAGGUUCGGAAUAACUCCCCGAAAGGGGUGCUAAUACCGGAUAAUGUCUUCGGACCAAAGAUUUAUCGCCUUUGGAUGGGCCCGCGUUGGAUUAGCUAGUUGGUAGGGUAAAAGCCUACCAAGGCGACGAUCCAUAGCUGGUCUGAGAGGAUGAUCAGCCACACUGGGACUGAGACACGGCCCAGACUCCUACGGGAGGCAGCAGUGGGGAAUAUUGGACAAUGGGCGAAAGCCUGAUCCAGCAAUGCCGCGUGAGUGAUGAAGGCCUUAGUGUUGUAAAGCUCUUUUACCCGGGAUGAUAAUGACAGUACCGGGAGAAUAAGCUCCGGCUAACUCCGUG